UCCACUCCCUGUGACUUGUUACGCAGC
Molecule: non-coding RNA, 27 nt
Filed under: Mus musculus (house mouse)
Lineage: Eukaryota; Metazoa; Chordata; Mammalia; Rodentia; Muridae
Source: RNAcentral